RNAcentral lists this transfer RNA (67 nucleotides) under Ophiacantha linea. Its description in RNAcentral is "tRNA-Glu". The record is from RNAcentral. Lineage: Eukaryota; Metazoa; Echinodermata; Ophiuroidea; Amphilepidida; Ophiacanthidae.
ACCUUUAUAGUUAAGAAAUAACAAUAAAUUUUCUCUUUAUAAUCCCUUUGUAAAAAAGGUAGAGGUU